UCCGGAUUAGCUCAGCGCUAGAGUAUGUGACUGUUAAUCACUUGGUCACUGGUUCGAACCCAGUAUCCGAAG
This 72-nucleotide transfer RNA is filed under the name Sulfurimonas aquatica. It matches the Rfam family "tRNA". From Rfam's summary of the family: Transfer RNA (tRNA) molecules are approximately 80 nucleotides in length. Their secondary structure includes four short double-helical elements and three loops (D, anti-codon, and T loops). The record is from Rfam by way of RNAcentral. Lineage: Bacteria; Pseudomonadati; Campylobacterota; Epsilonproteobacteria; Campylobacterales; Sulfurimonadaceae.